This is a long non-coding RNA of Culicoides brevitarsis, 515 nucleotides long. RefSeq lists it as uncharacterized. The record is from RefSeq and is a predicted model, not a curated record. Lineage: Eukaryota; Metazoa; Arthropoda; Insecta; Diptera; Ceratopogonidae. The transcript has 3 exons.
UUCAAUAAUUUUUCAGAUUUCCUCUAAGAAAAUCCCUUUUUUCGCUGAUUUAAACUUUUUUUCGUGGAAAUUCGCAAUGUCAACCGCUUCCAGAUAUACACUUUAUGGGUCGUUAGGCGUCAGUUUAGGGAUCAUCGCCUACGUUUGCGGAAAACAGCAAUAUGACAGACAUGUUCUGCGAGAGGGUGUAUGGCGAGAUGUGGAGCGACAACAGCGAAAGACAGAAAAUAUUUAUUUGCUGCAACAACAAAUUGACUUAACAAAGCAACUAAAAGCACAACAAGAGAAAAGUGGCAAAAGUAUCGAGACGAAUAGUUAAAAAAUGCAAUAAAAAAUGAUUAGCUUGAUAGUUUCAAAAAUGAAAUAUUAUAUUAAUUGCUUAUUUUUUAUGUUCAAUAAGAAGCAAAGUAAUAUUCCCGCUUGUGUCAUUACGUCCACCGUGCUGGAUUCCAAAAAGGAUUCCUUUUGAGCCUUGAAUGCACUCGUCGAUGUCUUGCCGGGUCGCAGCAAUGUGG